Long non-coding RNA from Sciurus carolinensis (gray squirrel), 782 nucleotides. RefSeq lists it as uncharacterized. The record is from RefSeq and is a predicted model, not a curated record. NCBI's taxonomy places the organism in Eukaryota, Metazoa, Chordata, Mammalia, Rodentia, Sciuridae. The transcript has 3 exons.
ACUGUGCGCGAGGCCAGAGUCCUGGCCAGGCGGUUUCGGAGGGCUAGCAUGGCGCGACGCGGGAGGCAGAGGAAGGCAGCCAGCGGGCGUCGGGUGCGAGACGCUCCUCCUGUGGCUUCCUCACUGGAAGGCGCGGCGCUGGGCGGGACUCGGCGGGUCAGCUCCGCCCCCGGCCCUGGAGGCGCGCCCCCGGGGCGGUGUCAGGCGUGUGGUGCCCCCUGACCCUGGGGCUCCCCUUCGUUUCCUCUGGUUCUUGCUGCACACGUCAGAGUUGAGGCUGUGCUCAUGCAUCUGUGAAGAAGGAAGCAGGAGAGGUGGAUUCAAUGCCGGCCCAACUGAGUAGAAGGCAGAAGCUACAGCUCAACUCUAGAUACUUAUAUUCUGGAGCUACUAUAUCCCUGGAGCCCUACUUGAAUCAUUGGAUUUUUGUUAGGUAACUGUUGUGUAUGAACAUUGAAUUAAAUGUUUUUGGGCGAGAAAUAAAACCAGCCACUGCAUCCCUGCUCUUCUUUUUAAAAUUGUUUUUGUACUAGUGUAUUGUAAUUAUGCACAGUAGUGAGGUUCAUUGUGACAUAUUCAUAAAUGCACAUAACAUCAUUUGCUCCAAUAUAUUCCCUAGUACUUCCUCCCUAACCUCAUUAUCCUUCCUUUACUCUUCUGGUCUUCCUUCAUUGAUUUACAAAUAUUUUUACAUAAAAGUGGAAUUCAUUGCUAUAUAUUCAUACAUGCAUCCUUGUUCUUGAGUUUGUCAAUAUGUCUUGGUAUUUCUUUGUCAGUUUCUU